Molecule: long non-coding RNA, 380 nt
Organism: Nilaparvata lugens (brown planthopper)
Lineage: Eukaryota; Metazoa; Arthropoda; Insecta; Hemiptera; Delphacidae
Exons: 2
Source: RefSeq, a predicted model, not a curated record
UGAUCUACUGAUGAGGAAAGAGACAUAUUGCAGUGGCUACUGAAAGUAUUGAUGUUAUUGAACCAGGAUAUUCUAGAUUGAGAGGUGUCACUUUGUACGAGAUUCACGCUCCCAUCAUGAUUCUCUUCACACGAAGGUUCGAAGCGAACAGCAUACAAAAGAAAGAAGUGAAAAUCGAACUGAAACAAGUUAUCCGAUACCUGAGAGAAGCCAGUACAAUACUGAAUUUUGAAACUGAGAACUCAAUGGAGAAAAUUAUGGGGAAAGCUGCAACGGAAGCAUUGGAGCGUAUGAAAGACUGGGAACGAAUUAUUGGCAAGCUUUGAUGUUAUUUAUAUGAAAGCCUCAAGUUUUUUAAUAAAGAUGGAAAUCACAAUGUA